GAUUAAAAGUGGGUGGUUAAAGACAUAUAAAGUGAUAUGGUCUAGUUCAACAACUGCCUGUAUUUUUGGAAUACUGAAGAACAGUCUGUUGUAACAGGUUAAACCCCAUGGAAAGAAUGUGCAUCAUCGCAUCGCCUGCCAAAAAAGGAAGCAAAAGAGAGACUACCUGAUGUAUGGACUUGAAUACCAGGUUUUACCCUGCACAAGCUGGCCGACAUGAGUAGAACAGGAGUGGGAAAACCGCGCCCUCUCCUUGACCAAGAAAAGCUGGAUUUGUUUAGAGGACCUGAUCAAAUGAGAUCAUGCACGAGACGCAUCACGCAAAGGCCAUGACAGUAUAAUAGUUGCAAAGAAGUUUGACCGGCUGGUGGAAGACUUGGAGAGAAAGAUGAGAGCUGCACUCCGCUGCCUCAAAGAAACGUGAAAGGCCUUGAUUGAUAUGCAUCUUUCUUAUGUAUAUAGCUGUUCGUGUGUAUAUACUGUACAUGUUAUUAUAGUAUGCUAUUAUUUUUUGUUUAUUUAUAAUCAAAUUAUGUUUAUAUUUAUUUCAUCAAAUUGCCAUUGAUAUUUAAUUACUCAUGUAUGUUAAAAAUGUUGGUGUACAUUAAAGUAUAAAAUUGAAUUAUCUUGUAAUUAUUAAAAUACACAAAUAUAUAUGUUUAUAUAAUUAUUGGUUUUUAUUGCAUAUCUGAAUUAAAAAAAACUUUUAAAAGCAUAUAAUUGAAUCAACUGUUAAGGCAAAAGAUGCACCUUUAACGCACAUGUGUGCUUUUUGUGAGUGCGUUUUUUGCUGCCAUUCAUGUGCGUAAAUUGUGCGUUUUGUGUGGGUUAUAACUGCGCUUAACGUGCGUUAAAUGUGCGCUUUUUGUGAGUUAAAU
Molecule: long non-coding RNA, 878 nt
Organism: Dreissena polymorpha
Lineage: Eukaryota; Metazoa; Mollusca; Bivalvia; Myida; Dreissenidae
Exons: 3
Source: RefSeq, a predicted model, not a curated record